RNAcentral lists this ribosomal RNA (246 nucleotides) under uncultured Lactobacillus sp. RNAcentral describes it as "partial 16S ribosomal RNA". It matches the Rfam family "Bacterial small subunit ribosomal RNA", at positions 122 to 355 of the family's 1533-position model. The record is from RNAcentral. Lineage: Bacteria; Bacillati; Bacillota; Bacilli; Lactobacillales; Lactobacillaceae.
UAACCUGCCCAAGAGAUCGGGAUAACACCUGGAAACAGAUGCUAAUACCGGAUAACAACAGAUGAUGCCUAUCAACUGUUUAAAAGAUGGUUCUGCUAUCACUCUUGGAUGGACCUGCGGUGCAUUAGCUAGUUGGUAGGGUAACGGCCUACCAAGGCGAUGAUGCAUAGCCGAGUUGAGAGACUGAUCCGGCCACAGUUGGGACUGAGACACCGGACCCAAACUCCGUACGGGGAGGCAGCAGCC